Alexandromys fortis (reed vole) is the source of this 1092-nucleotide long non-coding RNA. RefSeq lists it as uncharacterized. The transcript is spliced from 4 exons. The record is from RefSeq and is a predicted model, not a curated record. NCBI's taxonomy places the organism in Eukaryota, Metazoa, Chordata, Mammalia, Rodentia, Cricetidae.
CCAGCCCAAGCAGGCAGCAGAACUUGCAGCAGGAGCCACCUGAUUUUGGCCUAAGAGUCAUGAAGGCUAUGAGAAUAUAAACAUUUUGGAAUCUUCCUCUAAGAUUAAGGAAAGCCUCCCUGGCAAUUCUGAGGUCAGAGCGGACAGACAGACUGCAAUCCUACCAACAGUGACGGAAGGUUCCCCUUUCUCCACAUUCCCUCCAGCAUGUACUGUCUUUUUCCGUUGCUGAUCUUUGCCUUUGUGACUGGAACAAGAUGAAAUCUCAGAGGUCUUGUGUGAUGACCACAGUUGCUGUGAGUUCAUGAGUGGAGCAGUCCUGUCCAAAUGCAAUCCCACUUACGGCUAGGCAGUAUACAGACACUUACCCUCUGUACUCUGACAAGAACCUUCCAGCCAGCAAGGUAGAAGCUUCCAGAUGCUACCCCCCUUGGGACAGCAAUCUUCAAAGAUGUACACCACCGCCACCUUGGCUAUCUUAUGUUCUGGAUCAUCACCACUGGUGAAGUUUUAUCAUGGCCCAUGAAGUCAAGCCAUCUCUGAGGACUGACUGCCCACCCCCAUCUAUGCUGGUGAGCAGGAAGCAAUUAAGAGCAGUUAGCAACCCUAACUCCCUGAGAGCAGUCAGGGUGACCUCUGAGAGGGAGUAAUGAGAGGCUAGGGGUUGGUCGACAGACAGGUAGGGUGAGGGGCCAUGACUAGGAAUAAUGGAGGGGAAUUUCCAAGAUAGCAAAGAUAGUGAGCUUCUUCCUCAUCCUCCUGACUUGCGACAAAAGCCUGGCCGCUAAAACAAAGUGCUAGUGGGCUUCUGUUUCCCACCAGCAGGCCCUGUGCUGAUGGACUGACUCAACAAGUUCUGUUUGCAUCUGGAUCGGGACGUGUUACACAACACUUGUGAGCCAAUCUACCUUCCCAUCUUUCUUCAAACUGACCAACCCUAAAUUAGGGAAGGAAAACUCUUCAGAGACUUAAAUAAAAAAAAAAAAAAAAAAAAAACAGGCCUCAAGAAAAGACCGGAUUCUUCAGCUUCCCAAAUCCUCCCUCCGUUUUGCAGAGGGUAAUUUUGUGUGUGUGUCUGCAGCAUGCCUGUGC